RNAcentral lists this ribosomal RNA (260 nucleotides) under uncultured bacterium. Its description in RNAcentral is "partial 16S ribosomal RNA". It matches the Rfam family "Bacterial small subunit ribosomal RNA", at positions 793 to 1055 of the family's 1533-position model. The record is from RNAcentral.
GUCCACGCCGUAACGAUGGGUGCUAGGUGUGGGCGGUGUCGACUCCGUCCGUGCCGAAGCUAACGCAUUAAGCACCCCGCCUGGGGAGUACGGCCGCAAGGCUAAACUCAAAGGAAUUGACGGGGCCCGCACAAGCAGCGGAGCAUGUUGUUUAAUUCGACGCGACGCGAAGAACCUUACCAAGGCUUGACAUGCACGGGAAUGUCGUAGAAAUACGGCAGCCCUUCGGGGCUCGUGCACAGGUGGUGCAUGGCUGUCGU